Long non-coding RNA from Lepisosteus oculatus (spotted gar), 1917 nucleotides. RefSeq lists it as uncharacterized. The record is from RefSeq and is a predicted model, not a curated record. Lineage: Eukaryota; Metazoa; Chordata; Actinopteri; Semionotiformes; Lepisosteidae.
AGCCGCAGAGUGCACGCCUCUUCCUGUAACUCUCAUAUUCCCCACAUGACAAUACCUGUUGGCCUCAGCUGCUUUGUUACCUGAGCACCGCUGCCCCCGUUCCCCUCACCCAGAGCUUGGCGUAUUGAGCGAGCACGCUCUUCAAUACCGUCGUCAUAUCCUUAGUGUUCCUGCUCUCUUCCGAACGGGACAGUGAUCAAGUCUGCUCCGCGGCUCCUCUCCGUGUAAAGGAUCCAUCCCUCCAAGCACGGAGCCCGUCCAUGACUGAGCCUCGGUGUGGGCAAAGUCACGAGACGCCUGAAGGCCCAGGAGGAGCAGGGAGCCGUGGGAGAGACACGACAGGGCUCAGCUCUGAGUACAGCGCAGGUGAACUCAAUUUCUAUCGGCAGCACAGACACAGUCCUCCCACUGUGAGAGGCAUUGCACAUGAAUCACAUUUACAAGUUCUACGGCAUUCUGCAGUGCCAACAGUGGUUACAUAAUGACUGCUCAUACCCAGUACCAAUUUAACAUACAAAUUCUUUCAGCUUCAGUCAGCUUCAGUUUUAAAAGUCUCAGGAGAACUCCUGCACAAGAGUGUUUAAAUUGACACAUAGAGAAGAAAUAAACUCUAAAAUAAAUCGCUGUAAGGGAAUAAAAUAAUCCUUUUUGCAUUCCACACUGUUCUUUACACACACACACUGACUCAGCGCGGGGGUGCAGCAGGGCGCCCCCUGCUGGUGAAGCGAUGCAGUGCGAGGAAGACGCACCCUGCUGGCCCUCGCGCUGUCACCAUUCUAGGCUCCUGGAUGUCGGCUGCUCUCUGGGGACCCCACAGACAAGCAGCACUCUCAAGGUCACAGCGCUACGUGACACCCUCGCCCUCCGCGGUCGGCCACAGCUCAGCCAGCCCAGCCUGUAGACAGAGCCCGGCCGCUCCGCCCCAGCGCUGAGACAGCUCGGCUCCAAGCACACUGAGCAUCUGCUCCGCACAGGAGUGCAAGAUGGGCUUGUGGCUAUGUUUUUGCAUCUGUUUGCCUCUCGCUACAGAGAUGCGGAGAAAGAAAACAGCAGCAUCUAGGAGGAGCUCUCCGGAAACAAAGUUCCCCAGCACCUGGAACAAAGGUGUUCAAAACUUGUGCUUGGGUUAAACUGGAUGAAACAACCUACCAGUUAUUCCCAAAAUUCCCCAACUUUGAUUCAGGUUAAAGAUGACUAAAAACAGUAUUACGGCAGAAGCCUGCCAGUGGUUGUCUCACUGAUGGCACAGAAAUCUUCACCCACAGAUCCUGGGGCCUGUGGAAAUGCAACAGAUGAAUAUUGGAGCAUUUAUUGCAUUUUUAAUGCCUCUCGAUGUGCUUCAGCCCAUUAACUCUCAGCUAAAGGGGACUUGCAUUUACCAUCCGCUAUACUUGAAGACUUCUGAACGCAAAUAAACAAGGUCCCACGUUAUCAUGGAAAAUGCUGGUUUCUUUUGUUCAAAGCCUUUUUUGCAGCUUAGCAUGUUAGCCCAGAUAGACAGAACACAGUUUAUAGAGGAUGUUGUAGCUGAUUCAUAGUGCGGCACGCCCUCUCUGUGGGCCUGAGAAAGCCUUUCAUCAAGGCAGAUAACACCCUGUGUGCACAGAGCCGGAGUCAAAGUGCUUCAUACAACCUGCUAUUAAAUAUUGAACACUGCCUGUGGCAAUGAGUGAGGAGAUAACAGCCCAUUCCCACAAAAUAACAAUUACACAUAGGAGAGGGUGCCAUCUCGUUCACCCACUCAGACAACAGUGUUCCACAUCUUCACCCAGCAGAGGAAAUAUUAUGUGCCUCUGUGUCUCAUUCUGCAUAGCUUCUGGAUUUAUUCCUUAAUGAACUCUUAAUAGGCUCUGCAGCUAUUGUUCGCAAGCUUUUCUAAUGAUAACUCAAAGGAAGCGUGGAAACAUUCUUGUUCUU